RNAcentral lists this ribosomal RNA (376 nucleotides) under uncultured delta proteobacterium. RNAcentral describes it as "bacterial SSU rRNA". It matches the Rfam family "Bacterial small subunit ribosomal RNA", at positions 521 to 896 of the family's 1533-position model. The record is from RNAcentral. Lineage: Bacteria; Deltaproteobacteria.
UAAUACGAAGGGUGCGAGCGUUGUUCGGAUUUAUUGGGCGUAAAGCGGGUGCAGGCGGAUAUACAAGUCAGAUGUGAGAUCUCGGGGCUCAACCUCGAAACUGCGUCUGAAACUGUGUAUCUAGAAUCUCGUAGAGGGAGGCGGAAUUUCGCAUGUAGGAGUAAAAUCCGUAGAUAUGCGAAGGAACACCAGAGGCGAAGGCGGCCUCCUGGGCGAGUAUUGACGCUGUAGCCGAAAGCGUGGGGAGCAAACAGGAUUAGAUACCCUGGUAGUCCACGCCGUAAACGAUGUGCACUAGAUUUGGGGGGAGUUGACCCCUUCUGGAUCGUAGCUAACGCAUUAAGUGCACCGCCUGGGGAGUACGGUCGCAAGACUA